RNAcentral lists this ribosomal RNA (356 nucleotides) under Lactiplantibacillus plantarum. RNAcentral's name for it is "bacterial SSU rRNA". It matches the Rfam family "Bacterial small subunit ribosomal RNA", at positions 12 to 341 of the family's 1533-position model. Lineage: Bacteria; Bacillati; Bacillota; Bacilli; Lactobacillales; Lactobacillaceae. The record is from RNAcentral.
UUUGAUCUGGCUCAGGACGAACGCUGGCGGCGUGCCUAAUACAUGCAAGUCGAACGAACUCUGGUAUUGAUUGGUGCUUGCAUCAUGAUUUACAUUUGAGUGAGUGGCGAACUCGUGAGUAACACGUGGGAAACCUGCCCCAGAAGCGGGGAUAACACCUGGAAACAGAUGCUAAUACCGCAUAACAACUUGGACCGCAUGGUCCGAGUUUGAAAGAUGGCUUCGGCUAUCACUUUUGGAUGGUCCCGCGGCGUAUUAGCUAGAUGGUGGGGUAACGGCUCACCAUCGCAAUGAUACGUAGCCGACCUGAGAGGGUAAUCGGCCACAUUGGGACUGAGACACGGCCCAAAUCUCUA